This is a long non-coding RNA of Polyodon spathula (Mississippi paddlefish), 320 nucleotides long. RefSeq lists it as uncharacterized. The record is from RefSeq and is a predicted model, not a curated record. NCBI's taxonomy places the organism in Eukaryota, Metazoa, Chordata, Actinopteri, Acipenseriformes, Polyodontidae. The transcript has 3 exons.
AGAAUAUUCGUUGUGGAAGCCUUAGGGUGUGGUUUAUGUUCUGCUGCUUCUUUUUGUAGAGAUGUGUAAUUGCUGUGAAAAAAAGGACAAGAGGCAAGCAUGGGCCUCUAUCAAACCAAACAUGUUGGAGCCACUGUAGCAGAUAAUUUUUGUGAUGAUGAACCUUCAAGUGCUUAAAAUGGGAUACUUUUCAAUGGAAUUUGAUCUAGACUGUUUGGACGUCGCUCCCACAUUGUGUUAUCCUCGUAUACAAUAUCUCUGCUUGUUACUCGUGCACUUAUGCUUUGUUUUAUAUUGGAAUUGUCUUUUUAAAUAAUAUA